Molecule: transfer RNA, 83 nt
Filed under: marine eukaryotic metagenome
Rfam family: tRNA
About the family: Transfer RNA (tRNA) molecules are approximately 80 nucleotides in length. Their secondary structure includes four short double-helical elements and three loops (D, anti-codon, and T loops).
Source: RNAcentral
GAGGGGUGGCAGAGUGGUCGAAUGCGGCGGUCUUGAAAACCGCUUUGGCGCAAGCCAACGGGGGUUCGAAUCCCUCCCCCUCC